GACGAACGCUGGCGGCGUGCUUAACACAUGCAAGUCGAACGGAAAGGCCCUGCUUUUGUGGGGUGCUCGAGUGGCGAACGGGUGAGUAACACGUGAGUAACCUGCCCUUGACUUUGGGAUAACUUCAGGAAACUGGGGCUAAUACCGGAUAGGAGCUCCUGCUGCAUGGUGGGGGUUGGAAAGUUUCGGCGGUUGGGGAUGGACUCGCGGCUUAUCAGCUUGUUGGUGGGGUAGUGGCUUACCAAGGCUUUGACGGGUAGCCGGCCUGAGAGGGUGACCGGCAACAUUGGGACUGAGAUACGGCCCAGACUGCUACGGGAGGCAGCAGUGGGGAAUAUUGCACCAUGGGCGGAAGCCUGAUGCAGCAACGCCGCGUGCGGGAUGACGGCCUUCGGGUUGUAAACCGCUUUCGCCUGUGACGAAGCGUGAGUGACGGUAAUGGGUAAAGAAGCACCGGCUAACUACGUG
RNAcentral lists this ribosomal RNA (468 nucleotides) under uncultured bacterium. RNAcentral's name for it is "partial 16S ribosomal RNA". It matches the Rfam family "Bacterial small subunit ribosomal RNA", at positions 28 to 507 of the family's 1533-position model. The record is from RNAcentral.